This 218-nucleotide long non-coding RNA is filed under the name Nicotiana benthamiana. Its description in RNAcentral is "long non-coding RNA (NBEN_LNC004415)". Lineage: Eukaryota; Viridiplantae; Streptophyta; Magnoliopsida; Solanales; Solanaceae. The record is from RNAcentral.
UCAAUCUCUCUAAAGCUCUCUUUCAAUCUUUCUAGUGCAAGUGCUUAAUUUAUUGUUGCAAAUUCGUGAAAAAUUGUGAAGUUGUUGAAUUGAAGUUUUCAAGUGUUCAAGUUCAAGGAUUUUCAAUUUUCAAGAAGUUGUUCGUCAAUCCGGUAAACUCGUUUCAACUCUUACGUGCUAAUAGUAUUUUUUUGUGUUGUUGGUUUGCUUAAUUAUAA